RNAcentral lists this ribosomal RNA (466 nucleotides) under uncultured bacterium. Its description in RNAcentral is "bacterial SSU rRNA". It matches the Rfam family "Bacterial small subunit ribosomal RNA", at positions 355 to 825 of the family's 1533-position model. The record is from RNAcentral.
UGGGGAAUAUUGGACAAUGGGGGCAACCCUGAUCCAGCGAUGCCGCGUGCAGGAAGAAGGCGUUAUGCGUUGUAAACUGCUUUUGCCAGGGGAUAAAAAGACCGUGCGCGGUUAAUUGAAGGUACCUGGUGAAUAAGCCACGGCUAACUACGUGCCAGCAGCCGCGGUAAUACGUAGGUGGCAAGCGUUGUCCGGAUUUAUUGGGUUUAAAGGGUGCGUAGGUGGCCCUGUAAGUCAGUGGUGAAAUAUCUCAGCUUAACUGAGAGGGUGCCAUUGAUACUGCAGGGCUUGAGUACAGAUGAGGUAGGCGGAAUUGACGGUGUAGCGGUGAAAUGCAUAGAUAUCGUCAAGAACACCGAUAGCGAAGGCAGCUUACCAAGCUGUAACUGACACUGAGGCACGAAAGUGUGGGGAGCAAACAGGAUUAGAUACCCCUGUAGUCCCUGAGCGGGCUGGCAAGGCGCAU